Molecule: ribosomal RNA, 219 nt
Filed under: Mammaliicoccus sciuri
Lineage: Bacteria; Bacillati; Bacillota; Bacilli; Caryophanales; Staphylococcaceae
Description: Staphylococcus sciuri partial 16S ribosomal RNA
Rfam family: Bacterial small subunit ribosomal RNA
Source: RNAcentral
UGAGAAGCUUGCUUCUCUGAUGUUAGCGGCGGACGGGUGAGUAACACGUGGGUAACCUACCUAUAAGACUGGGAUAACUCCGGGAAACCGGGGCUAAUACCGGAUAAUAUUUUGAACCGCAUGGUUCGAUAGUGAAAGACGGUUUCGGCUGUCACUUAUAGAUGGACCCGCGCCGUAUUAGCUAGUUGGUAAGGUAACGGCUUACCAAGGCGACGAUAC